Molecule: ribosomal RNA, 521 nt
Filed under: uncultured Gammaproteobacteria bacterium
Lineage: Bacteria; Pseudomonadati; Pseudomonadota; Gammaproteobacteria
Description: bacterial SSU rRNA
Rfam family: Bacterial small subunit ribosomal RNA
Source: RNAcentral
GAGUUUGAUCAUGGCUCAGAUUGAACGCUGGCGGCGUGCUUAACACAUGCAAGUCGAGCGGCAGCGCGGGGGCAACCCUGGCGGCGAGCGGCGAACGGGUGAGUAAUGCUUCGGAAUCUUCCUCGUAGUGGGGAACAACCUGGGGAAACUCAGGCUAAUACCGCAUACGAACUACGGUUGAAAGCAGGGGAUCGCAAGACCUUGCGCUAUGAGAUGAGCCGAAGUCGGAUUAGCUAGUUGGUGGGGUAACGGCCUACCAAGGCGACGAUCCGUAGCUGGUCUGAGAGGACGACCAGCCACACUGGGACUGAGACACGGCCCAGACUCCUACGGGAGGCAGCAGUGGGGAAUAUUGGACAAUGGGCGAAAGCCUGAUCCAGCGACGCCGCGUGUGUGAAGAAGGCCUGCGGGUUGUAAAGCACUUUUAGUGGGGAUGAAAAGCCAAGGGCUAAUACCCUUUGGUCUUGACCUAACCCAAGGAAAAAGCAACCGGCUAACUCUGUGCCAGCAGCCGCGGUAAC